GGGAGCGCGGGGUCGAGUCUCUGGGCGUUGCGCCGACAGAGUUUGGCGGGCGAAAGAAGACUGAGGUAGGUAUUCGCCCCGCCUGCGGUCUGUCACUUCCCAGAGGGAUUACUUCUCUUUCUCUUCUGUUCCUGGUGUCUGUGAGGCGCGGGGAGCAGCCUGGUGACAUCUCGCUCUCACUCUUCCACCGAAGAAAUCGAGCGCCCGGAGGCGGGAGAUGAGGCCUGUCCGGCCACCCCGUGGGGCCAUUUGCUGUCAGUGGACCGCCCGCCCUCGACUUUAGGCUGGCGGCGUGGGACGUGGGGACCGCGGGGAGUGCGACCUCAUCACCCACCUGCCGGGUGACUUUGGGCGAACCUAGCCACAGUCCCCGCCAUGGCCAGGGUGGCGGGCCCCUCCCCGCUGACUGGUGAAGAUUCCGUGGCCUCGUGCGCGGGAAACACCAGGCGCGUCGUUAAGCGGUGUGGAGUCCGAGCGGUGAGCCGGAGCCGGUCUCCUGAGCUUCGGGGCUCACAGAGGGGGGAGGUAACAGCAUGUACACGUAAAGGUGCAGGCUGGAGAACGGGAGGAAGCCUCCCUUCCUCCCCGUGGCCCCAGAGGUGACCACUGUUACCUGUUUCUCUUGGAACCUUCCAGGGAUGUUCAAGGCAUGUUUAGGAAAUACUUACACUUUUUUCUCUUUAGCGAUGGCUGGGUUUCAAUUCUCUUUUCUUUUUUAAACACAAGUAGUAGCCUGUACGCCCGUUGUUCUGUACGUUGCCGUUUCCUCUUAAUAUAUCUUGGAGGUUGUCCAAGUCAGUACCUAAGGCUGUGCCUCUUUUUUAACAGCCGUAUGGCCUUUCACCAUGUAGAUAAACAAGAGGUAAUUUAGGAGCUUUUUGAUGGAUAUUCAGGAUGGUUCUUUUUGCAAUUAGCUACAGAAGAUUUUGAGAGAUCAAAGAAUGGGAGUAGGAUGCUUUCCGUGUCAGUUGCUUCCAAAGAAAUGCUCCUUCCAUAUUGCCAAAGCUGGAGGAAGGGGUGUUUUGCUGCUGAUCUCUAAUACUGGCUUUGUCUUUUUUUUUUUUUUAAUUUUAAUUGGGGUAUAGCUGAUUACCAGUGUUAUGUCUGGCUUUGUCUUUUUAUUUUAAUUAAUUAAUUAAUUUUUGGCUGCAUUGUGUCUUCCUUGCAGUGCGCGGGCUUCUCAUUGUGGUGGCUUCUCUUGCUGCAGAGCACGGGCUCUAGGCGCACGGGCUCAAUAGCUGUGGCCCAUGGGCUUAGUUGCUCUGCAGCAUGUGGGAUCUUCCCGGACCAGGGCUUGAACCCAUGUCCCCUGCAAUGAAUGGCAGGUGGAUUCUUAACCACUGUGCCACCUGGGAAGUCCUGUCUGGCUUUGUCUUUAACCAGAAACUUGUAGGAGAAGUGUUCUAAACCUUUGGCACCUACUCCCACUUGUCUGUUUUAGAACCUAGUAUAAGAUGGAAUUCGUUUUAGCAUGAUAUUAUGAAUUGUCACGUUAGGCUUCAUGUAUCUGUGUUUCCUAGUAUUCUGAAGAGAGCAUCGGGGCUGUCACAUGUCGUGUCACCUGAAUUCAAGUUUGAGAACCAGACUUUCGGGCCAGGGGAACAGCAUGAAUUCAGGUGAAAGAGGAUGGUGGUGUUUGGAAGUAGUAAGUGGCUGCAGUAGGGAUGGCAGAGGGAAGAAAUGGGAGAUGAGGCUAGAGUGGGGAGGUUAAGGAAUUUAUUAUCAAGCUGAAGGUUUAUAUUUUGGAGAAAUCAUACAGAUACAAGGUUUUUGAACUGGUAUUAGGGAAGAAGAGGAGGUGAUGAAUUAUGCUUUAGGAAAGCUAAUAUUGCUGUGGUAUUGUAGUGGUUAAAAAAAUGUCAUAUGCCCACAAAUUCUUUGAAACUUAAGUGAUGGAGUUUCGUUCCCCUCCCCUUGAGUAUGGGCUGGACUGAGUAGACUUGCUUCUAGCAAAUAGAAUAGAGCAGAAGUGAUGGGAUGUCACUUUGGAGAUUAGAUUAUAAAAAGACUAUAGUUUCGACCUUAAGUGUUCUUUUCCCCUCCAUCUUCCCCCCCCACCUCUCCCUCCGUCUUUCCUUUGUUCAAAAUUACUUUCUCUGGGUGAAGCCAGCUACCAAGUCCUGAGACUACUCAGGCAACCUGCCAGCAAGUGAGCUUGGAAGUGGAUCCUCCUCCAAUCGAUCCUGCAAAGUUUUUUUGUUUUUUUUUAAAUUUUUUAUUUAAUUUAUUUAUUUUUGGCUGCGCUGCGUUUUCAUUGCUGCAUGCGGGCUUUCUCUAGUUGCAGCGAGUGGGGGCUACUCUUCAUUGCAGUGCAUGGGCUUCUCAUUGCGGUGGCUUCUCUUGUCGCAGAGCAUGGGCUCUAGGCGCACGGGCUUCAGUAGUUGUGGUUUGCAGGCUCUAGAGCGCAGGCUCAGUAGUUAUGGCGCACAGGCUUUGUUGCUCCGCGGCAUGUGGGAUCUUCCCAGACCAGAGCUCGAACCCGUGUUCCCUGCAUUGGCAGGCGGAUUCUUAACCACUGCGCCACCAGGGAAGCUGAUCCUGCAAAGUUUUGAGAGAUCCUGAGCCAGAACCAUCUAAAAGCUAUGCUGCUUCCAGAUUCCUGACCCACACACAUAAACUAUGAGAUAAUAAAUGUUUGUUAUUUUAAGCCACUAAAUUUGGGCUUGGUAAUUUGUUAUCCAAAAAUAGAUAACUAGUGGAAAUGUGUAGCCCUCCCAUCUUCAGACCCAUCACCUGUGUUGAUGUAAAAGUCCUGUUAGCACCUCACACCCAAAACAAGUUCCACCAUGAACUCAUUAUCUUCCUCUCAAACCUGCUCUUCGUAUGUUUUCUGUCUCAGUUCAUGGCACCACAAACUCACUGCCUAGUUGCCCAAGCCAGAAUAUGGGAAUCCUCCUUAAUUCUUUUCUCCUCAUCCUCCAUAUAUGUUGUUUAUUUCUUCUAAAUAUUUCUUGCAUUCAUCCAAUCCUUUUUAUCCCUUCCAGCUUGUGAUGCAAACUAUCAUUACUUUUUUUCCUAGACUACUGUACCAGCCUCCUAAGUUGUCCUCCUACCUCCAGUUUUGCAUAUUAUAGUCCAUUCUUUGCCCUUCGGUGGGAGUGAUCUUUGUAAAGGGCAGAUGUGGUCCUAUCAAACCUGAUUAUGCUUAACCAACUUCCUUGCAAUAUCAUUGUCAUCAGGACGAAAUACAGAUUCCUUAAUUUGCCUUCUACAUAUCCAAGUGUGCAUUUGUUUUCUUGUGUCCCAUCUGGUUUAGAAUUUGUCCUGGAAAAAAGGGUCCCAGUUUGAAAAAUAAAUUUUAUGGUCAACCUCAACAUAUUAGGCACUCUUCAUCUGCUGCCUCCCUUAUUACCUCCCUGACUUCAUACCCUGCCUCUCACCCCUUCAGUCUUUAGAUCCUGGUUUCAACUCUGCAGUUCCCACUUGUCUUCAUACCUUCUAACAUGCUGUAACUUCUUCCUGGAGCACUACCACCUGCAAAGUCGUCCUACCAUAAUUGGCUGUCCCCUGCUUGAGAAUAAGCUCUGAGAGGGCAGGGGAGAGCCAAUUAAUGGUAGGAAAACUAUAAAUGAUAUCUUCACCAUUGUAUCCUUAGCACCUAGCCCAUAUAUAACAUAAUGAAUAUUCACUUGAAGAAUGAGUAAUGCAUUGUAAUGGCCUGAGACAGGGCUUAGGUUGACAAGAAUAGGAAACUAUUGUGGUUUUCUAGGUAUUGAUCUAAUAGCGUGAUAGCAGUGAGGACAAAGUAUAAGACUUGAACAAAAAUUGGAUAAACAAGGGAAAUUAAGAUUAUUCCCAAAUUCUGAAUAACUGGGCAAAUCGGUGGUUUUGUUAAUAGAGCUGGGGAAGGCAGGAGGAGUGGUAGAUUUGGAAAGAAAAAUAUGAUAUUCUUUUUCAAUAUUGAGUUUGAAGUUCCAGGGGUACAUCUAUGUGGAUCUGGAACGUGGAGGAGAAGGUUCCUGAACUUAAAUAGGAAAUGUGAAAGUCAUGGAAAUGAUGGUUAAAAUUGUGGAGAGACUUCCCUGGCGGUCCAGUGGUUAAGACUCCACACUUCCACUGCAGGGAGCACUGGUUCGAUUUCUGGUAGGGGAACUAAGAUCCCGCAUGCCAUGUGGUGCAGCAG
Phocoena sinus (vaquita) is the source of this 4123-nucleotide long non-coding RNA. NCBI's taxonomy places the organism in Eukaryota, Metazoa, Chordata, Mammalia, Artiodactyla, Phocoenidae. The record is from Ensembl.